Molecule: ribosomal RNA, 419 nt
Filed under: uncultured marine bacterium
Lineage: Bacteria
Description: bacterial SSU rRNA
Rfam family: Bacterial small subunit ribosomal RNA
Source: RNAcentral
AACGCGAAGAACCUUACCAGCGUUUGACAUGGAAAGUACCGGUUACAGAAUGGUAACCUUCAGUUCGGCUGGCUUUCACACAGGUGCUGCAUGGCUGUCGUCAGCUCGUGUCGUGAGAUGUUCGGUUAAGUCCGGCAACGAGCGCAACCCACAUCUUUAGUUGCCAGCAGGUUAAGCUGGGCACUCCAGAGAAACUGCCCGUGAUAAGCGGGAGGAAGGUGUGGAUGACGUCAAGUCCUCAUGGCCCUUACGGGUUGGGCUACACACGUGCUACAAUGGCAGUGACAAUGGGUUAAUCCCAAAAAGCUGUCUCAGUUCGGAUUGGGGUCUGCAACUCGACCCCAUGAAGUCGGAAUCGCUAGUAAUCGCGUAACAGCAUGACGCGGUGAAUACGUUCCCGGGUCUUGUACACACCGAAU